RNAcentral lists this unclassified non-coding RNA (533 nucleotides) under Hevea brasiliensis (rubber tree). Lineage: Eukaryota; Viridiplantae; Streptophyta; Magnoliopsida; Malpighiales; Euphorbiaceae. The record is from RNAcentral.
GAACAUGGGUGGCCAUUUGAAUGCGUACACCUCCAGGGAGCAGACUACGUAUUAUGCCAAGGUCUUGGACAAGGAUGUGCCCAAGGCUUUGGAUAUUUUGGCUGACAUCUUGCAGAAUUCGAAGUUCGAUGAGCACCGGAUUAGUCGUGAACGUGAUGUGAUUUUGAGAGAAAUGGAGGAGGUUGAGGGGCAAACCGAAGAAGUUAUCUUUGACCAUUUGCACGCAACUGCAUUCCAGUAUACUCCCCUUGGUAGAACCAUUCUUGGACCUGCUCAAAAUAUCAGGACAAUUACCAAGGAUCAUCUUCAAAGUUAUAUUCAAACUCAUUAUACGGCCCCAAGAAUGGUUAUUGCUGCUUCUGGAGCUGUUAAGCAUGAGGAUUUCGUUGAGCAAGUAAAGAAAUUGUUCACGAAGUUGUCAGCAGAGCCAACCACAGCUGCUCAGCUGGUUGCAAAGGAGCCAGCAAUUUUUACUGGUUCUGAGGUUAGAAUAAUUGAUGACGAUGUCCCUUUGGCUCAAUUUGCUAUUGCUU